AUGGGGAUGUGGGAGACGGAGGAUGCAACUCCAGUUUUGUUUUCUGUGUGUGUGGUUUUUUUAUGGGGGAUUAGCCCUUGUUCUGGGAAAGGCUGGGGUGGGAACAAUUGCAAAACUCCUCUGGACAGCCUGACUGAUGCCCAAUGGUCCCAUCUGGUCGGCUCUUGCUUGAGCCUGGGUUCACUUUGUUUGCUGUGCUGCCUGAAAGAAGCAAUUCUACAUGUGCAUGAGGUCCCGGAAGACCUUGAAUCUAGACUCCUGUACCCAGGCAGGACAGUAUGGAAGCCACACAAAGACUCUGACAAAUGCAGAAAGAGAUGUAAAGCGUUUCUGCCACUGCCUCUGUCCAGAGAGUCCCAGUGCCCUCAUGCCAGGAUUACAGGGGGCAGGAAAUCAACUGAGCCAGGACCCACAGCUGCCCAGCAGAACACAGCUCCUUAAAAAGCAGGUAUCAAAUCUGACCUUAUCUAUCCUUCAGGCUGUCCAACUCAUCUCUGCUCCCACUGCCUUAUCUCUCACUAUUCCCCAAACAGAGCUUCGAAUACUGAAUACUGACACGCCUGCUACUUUUCUCUCUGGUGCACAUAUUUUGCAUUCUUCCCAUUCUUAUCUUUGCUCUUCUUCUCUGUUGCAUACUUGGGAUGUUCUCUAUUACCAUCUGUGAAAGCUUCAGCAGACGCUAACUACUCAAAAUUAGUUUCCUUUUAAUUGUCUCUUCAGACGGUUAUUUUUGCUUGAAUUAUGGGAUACAUCCUUAUUGCAUUCUCAAUGCCCCAUGUUUAAGAACAAAGGGCUUGGCUCCAGUUAAAGGCAAGUUAGAAUCCUGGGUCUGUUUUCUCAUCUAUGUCUCACUUGUUUCACUCAUAAUAUAGAGAUUUCACAGUUAAUGUUGAGGGGAUUUCAUGGGAUAAGUUAAAUAAAAUGCUUGAUAUAUGAUGAUAAGUCCA
RNAcentral lists this long non-coding RNA (947 nucleotides) under Oryctolagus cuniculus (rabbit). Its description in RNAcentral is "lncRNA (ENSOCUG00000030234.1)". The record is from RNAcentral. Lineage: Eukaryota; Metazoa; Chordata; Mammalia; Lagomorpha; Leporidae.